AUGUUGGAAAAAGGGCUCAUCACACCUAGUACGAGUGCAUUUUCAUCGCCCGUGCUGCUGGUCAAGAAGAAGGACCAAACAUGGCGUUUCUGUGUCGAUUACCAUCAUCUCAACACCAUCACUGUCAAGAAAACCUACCCAAUGCCUGUGAUCGACGAGCUACUCGACGAGUUGGCUGGUUCUAAGUGGUUCUCGAAGUUGGAUUUGCGAGCCGGAUAUCAUCAAAUCCGCUUGGUCCCGGAGGAUGAGCACAAGACAGCAUUCCGAACGCACUUGGGGCACUUUCAGUUCAGAGUGAUGCCGUACGGCCUCGCGUACGCUCUUGCAACUUUCCAAGGGGUGGUC
Molecule: ribosomal RNA, 345 nt
Filed under: Triticum aestivum (bread wheat)
Lineage: Eukaryota; Viridiplantae; Streptophyta; Magnoliopsida; Poales; Poaceae
Description: partial small subunit ribosomal RNA
Source: RNAcentral